UGUGAGUUCAACAUUUCAUGACUGAGAGCUGUCCUUCAUGACAACAGAACCCACAACAACCAUGACUUUUAUCACCAUCUUCAUCUGGAUAUUUGCCCUGUGUCUCCAAGAGUCCAGAGGGCAGUACACUGUGAAUCAGACUCCUGCAGUGAAAGCUGUUUCAGAGGGUCACUCAGUCAGUCUCAGCUGUAAGACCAGCAGUGCUGUGUACAGUGACUUCUUUGGACAGAGGAUGGCCUGGUACCAACAGAAACCUGGAGGAGCUCCUAAACUCCUAAUAUACUUAGCUAAAACCCUUCAGUCUGGGACUCCAUCUAGAUUCAGUGGCAGUGGAUCUGGGAGUGACUUCACUCUGACCAUCAGUGGAGUCCAGGCUGAAGAUGCAGGAGAUUACUACUGUCAGAGUUACCACAGUGGUGAUGUGUUCACACAGUGAUACAGAGUCGUACUAAAACCUCCCUC
Molecule: non-coding RNA, 462 nt
Organism: Oncorhynchus tshawytscha (Chinook salmon)
Lineage: Eukaryota; Metazoa; Chordata; Actinopteri; Salmoniformes; Salmonidae
Source: the annotation of a RefSeq genome assembly